This 964-nucleotide ribosomal RNA is filed under the name Ceratocystis fimbriata. RNAcentral's name for it is "LSU rRNA". The stretch from base 122 to 964 matches the Rfam family "Eukaryotic large subunit ribosomal RNA", at positions 1 to 873 of the family's 3401-position model. The record is from RNAcentral. Lineage: Eukaryota; Fungi; Ascomycota; Sordariomycetes; Microascales; Ceratocystidaceae.
UAUUUGCAGCUUCCCUGUGUAGUAAUAUUUAUUUUACGCUUUGAAACUCUUUUACAACAUGCCGUAAAACCCUAGAUUAAAUUUUAAUUUUUUUAAAGUUUUAUUUUUUUUUUCAAAAGGUUGACCUCGGAUCAGGUAGGAAUACCCGCUGAACUUAAGCAUAUCAAUAAGCGGAGGAAAAGAAACCAACAGGGAUUGCCUUAGUAGCGGCGAGCGAAGCGGCAACAGCUCAAAUUUGAAAUCUGGCUACUUUGUAGUCCGAGUUGUAAUUUGCAGAGGAUGCUUUUGGUGAGGUGCCUUCCGAGUUCCCUGGAACGGGACGCCAGAGAGGGUGAGAGCCCCGUACGGUUGGACACCAAACCUUUGUAUAGCUCCUUCAACGAGUCGAGUAGUUUGGGAAUGCUGCUCUAAAUGGGAGGUAUAUCUCUUCUAAAGCUAAAUACCGGCUAGAGACCGAUAGCGCACAAGUAGAGUGAUCGAAAGAUGAAAAGCACUUUGAAAAGAGAGUUAAACAGCACGUGAAAUUGUUGAAAGGGAAGCGCCUAUGACCAGACUUGUUUCUGUCAGUUUUGCUUGUUUUCGGACUUGUUUACUCUGUCAGUACAGGCCAACAUCAGUUUGUUGUUUGGGAGAAAGGCUUAGGGAAUGUGGCUCCCUCGGGAGUGUUAUAGCCCUUUGCAUAAUACCAUUCGGCAGACUGAGGACCGCGCUUCGGCAAGGAUGUUGGCGUAAUGGUCAUCAGCGACCCGUCUUGAAACACGGACCAAGGAGUCAACCUUAUGUGCGAGUGCUUGGGUGUAAAACCCCAGCGCGUAAUGAACGUGAACGUAGGUGAGAGCUUCGGCGCAUCAUCGACCGAUUCUGAUGUUCUCGGAUGGAUUUGAGUAAGAGCAUAUAGGGUUGGACCCGAAAGAAGGUGAACUAUGCUUGUAUAGGGUGAAGCCAGAGGAAACUCUGGUGGAGG